CUGACCUUUGCCUGCAGCCUUGCUCGGCCCACUGGGCUCACUCCACCCACUCAGCCUGGCAGGCUGCACUUGGCUCACAUCCUGCCCCAGAUCCCACACGUGCACAGGGACUCUGCACUCAGCCCACAGCUGGACUGGACAUGCCACGGCAGGUUUUCACGUUGGGCACCAGAGUCUAGAUGAGGGUGGAUGUGAUGGCACCUAAAAACUCAGAAAUUCCAGCAACUGCAGAGUCCCAAGGGGUGUUACAGCUCUCGCCGGGGGAAUGCUGAGAUCUGAGCUCUCACGAAAUGUUGCAGCUCUUGAAAUUCAGCCAACCAGCCAGGAGGGAAUGGCGUCAAACUGCUUCACUUCUUCAUGCCUGCAGCUAGGAGAAUGGGGGCGUGUUACAGUUCUCCCUGCUGCAUGCAGCUCAGCAGACAGGUGCAUGUCAUAGCUCUCCCCGUUGCCCUCAGCUUGGUGGACAGGGGCGUGUGGUAUCCAACGGUCUUUUUGCUAUUGGAGUUCAACAAGCAGGAGCAGGUGUUAUAGCUCUUUUUGCACCCACCAUUCUGCCGGCCCAGAUUCUUGUGACGCAACCGAGAAGAAUGAGGUGCGCGGACACCAGAGAGUAAGCAGGGGAGAGAAGAAUUUUAUUGAGCCACAGAAAAGCUCUCAACACGAAAGGGAACCCAAAGUGGAUAGUCCUCUGUGUGAGAAGGGGCCCCAAAUCAUACCUGUCUGUGAGACUGCGUCUAGGGUUUUUAUGGGCUCAGAAUGAGAGAGUGCAUGCUGAUUGGUCCAUGGGAGGGCCUGGAAAAACACCGUUCAAUUGGCUAAAAGGCAUCAAGGCCGUUCUCACUCUGGUCAUGGACUCCACCUGGAACUGGCAGCUUGGUUUUCAGGUUUCCGGCUGUCUUUGGCUUAAGAGGUCAACAAUCAGCCUUCAGAUGGUUCAAAUUAGUCAACAUAGAUCAGAGCUGAACCCCUGCCCUACAAGUGAACAUAACUUCUCCUGUGAGAAAUCACCUGGCAGCGGGCUACAAGAAUGCCCUUUACUGAAGUAAUAUAGAAAGGAAGUGAUGAAAGCAAAAGGAUAUAAAUCGUUCACUUUAUUGGAAGAAGGAGAAUCUACACACUGGUGUUUCUUAAUUGUUGCCAAAGGAAACCUAACAAAAACUCAUGGAUUCAAUGGGAGUAUUAAUAAGCCAAUCAACAGAUGGCUAAUUGUACCACUGAAAAAUGCAAAUAAAUUAAUUCUCACUUGCUCUCA
Molecule: long non-coding RNA, 1252 nt
Organism: Macaca mulatta (Rhesus monkey)
Lineage: Eukaryota; Metazoa; Chordata; Mammalia; Primates; Cercopithecidae
Source: RefSeq, a predicted model, not a curated record